RNAcentral lists this ribosomal RNA (798 nucleotides) under Triticum aestivum (bread wheat). RNAcentral describes it as "partial small subunit ribosomal RNA". Lineage: Eukaryota; Viridiplantae; Streptophyta; Magnoliopsida; Poales; Poaceae. The record is from RNAcentral.
AUGGCCGCCUCUGCCUCCGCCGGCAGCCGCCACUUCAAGAUCUUCGCGGCCGCCGACGGCUUCGGCGAGCCGCUCAAGGACGCCGUCGUCGCGCACCUCCGCGCCCACCCCUCCGUCGCCGACGUCGUCGACCUCGGCGUCGACAAGUACUACGCCGCCGCCGCGGCCGUCGCCCGCGGCGUCUCCUCCUCGGCCCCCGACCCCGCGCUCGAAUCCCGCGGCGUCGUCGUCUGCGGCACCGGCGCCGGCGUCACCAUCUUCGCCAACAAGUACCCCGGCGUGUACGCCACCCACUGCAGCUCCGCCGCCGACGCCGCCGCGUUCGCCAUCGCCGACGCCUGGCUCGCCACCCCCUUCCGCGCCCCCUGCCCCGCGUCCGGCGACGCCCCUUGGCCGGAGGACAUUCAGAAGUUCCUCGAUGCUGCCCCCGUUCGAGAGCCGGUGGACAUCAUGCCCGGCGGCGAGAUGCGGAUUGUGCGCGAGAGCCCCACUUCGGCCUACGUCCGGUUCAAAGCUGGAAGCGUGGAGCCGGCCCACCACCACACCUUCGGCCACGACCUGGUGGUGAUCAAGGGCAAGAAGAAGGUGUGGAACUUGACCAAGAAGGAGAGCUAUGGCCUGGUCGAUGGGGACUUCCUGUUCACGCCUGCUGGGGACGUGCACCGCGUCAAGUACUUGGAGGACACGGAGUUCUUCAUCCGCUGGGAUGGGCACUGGGACAUAUUCCUCGAUGAAGACCUCGAGACCGCACGCAAUGCCAUCGAUGCAGAGCUCGGUGUGGUUGACAGUGAGAAGUGA